Molecule: long non-coding RNA, 2933 nt
Organism: Gasterosteus aculeatus aculeatus (three-spined stickleback)
Lineage: Eukaryota; Metazoa; Chordata; Actinopteri; Perciformes; Gasterosteidae
Source: Ensembl
CACGCGGUCAGACUCCGCACGCGCACACCCACUUUGUGUCCAGUCCCUUGAGUAAUCAAGCUGCCACAUUACAGCCCCUUGGUGUGGCUGCUUACAUUAGCACGAAGCUAAUGGGGUUUUUGUUGGUCGUCUGCUCCGUGCUGGGGGGGGUCACAAAAAGGUAAAAGGGGAGAAAAAAAAUCUGCUUAAAAUUGCUGAAUAAUCACCCGGACUAAUUCUGAUUACGCCCCAUGGUUGUCAUGCAGUUGCAGGGGCCCGUGUGUCUGCCGGGUGAUGCAUCAGAAUCGCAUCGUAUUUGCUCAAGCAUUACUGAAAUGGCGCCCAUCCAGACGCCGAGGCGCUCUUUGUUCUGAGUCUUAAACCGAGACAAAGUCUUCCCGCGAGGAUUCGUCGAGACUCCAGAUCCCCAGCAGCUGCAGAUCUCUGAGCUCACCAGAGACCCCUUUUAUCGGCGCUGCAGAACAAGGCAAACUCCUGUAAAUGGAGUCCCACUGAUUCACCCGUUAGUCAAUGCGGCGCGAUGCUUUGUGGUCAUCAGCAAACACGGCACAGGCCCCGUGGACACAAGGGACAAACAAAGAAAGGCGACUCGGCUUCAGUGUUGUGCAUUGUGGGUAAUUGGGACUCCGGUACAUGCAGGCCGAGCGCGGGCUGAAACGAAUGGAGAUUCAUGUAAAUCACCGGUGUUCACUUGAUAAAUGGGACGUGGUCUUUUCUUUUGUCAAACUCAGUCUGGCGUCAUGCCCAUGAGGGAGGGGGGGGGGGGGGGGGUAGGAGCCGACAGACUGAGUCAGGUUUAACCUCAAAGUGCCAGAUCCAAUAACUUCAUAUAGUCCCAGCCCAUCUGUUUGGUUUGUUGAAGGGCGCGAGGACCCCCCGCUCCCACUACUCUUCCCCCCCCCCGCGUCCCUCCCAGCAUCACGCUGCGGACCGGACCAAAGACGCACACACACACACUGGCUAUGAACCCUGCCACCUGUUGGCACUGCAGACAUCUUGGUCCCCGUCGGCGGAAGGAAGGCAGAUUGGUGACGGCCGGUGGGAUUGUGGGAGUUUGAGGACGCGGGUCCGGACCAGUUUGUUCACGUAAUCAAUCUGGGUCUGAGAUGAGAGUAAAGACCGCCGAGGCUCGGGGUUGAGUAGAAUUGACCUUGGCAUGACAGGUAAUAAUAGCGCGACUGUGAGGCCGUCUGGAGCUCAUUUCCGUGACAGCGGGACCCUCAUUGUGAACAGCCGAGGGAGCAGAGAUUUGACGAUGCGAGACAAGGAUGUUUUUUUGUUUUUUUUAUUCUUUAUGAAUGUACUGAUGAUCCCAGACUGUGAUCAUUUUUUAUUGUAAAUUGAAAUGGUAAAAAUCCAGAUGUUUUUGACGGUUCGGCCUGCUGGUGUCUCGGGAGCUCAGUCUCUUUGCACUCGAUAGAAGCUUCGCGACACAGUAAUUGCUCUACGAACGCUGAGCCGAGUUUGUACUGCACCAUAUGUGCCGUUUGAUUUGGUAUCAAAUGUUUUUUUGCCACCUUCUGAAACGGGUUACGCACCGAAAGUUGAAAGCUGCAAAUCAGAUAAGCGGUGGCGUCUGGUAUGCAGGCUGAUUUCUCCCUUCACUGGCUGCACAGAAGAGGAGGAGGAGGAGGAGGAAGAAUUUGUGUAGUCCUGCUGUGGCGCCAUCCCGCCUGAAGCGAAGGCCCGAGUCCCCGAGUAAGAGACCUGGGAGACGGCGACUUCUUCCCGGCUGAUCCGUCAACUCGUCCCCUGCGUGAGACCUUCCCACGUAGCCACUAGCCUGAGCUGCACUGGUUGCCAUGUUCACUGCGGGGACCUCACACUCUCCGUCUAACGUGCCGAUACUAUGUGCGCUGGGAUUUCCAAACUUUUCCACCUCCUGGGGGCAAAGCUGCUGCAGUGAGUGUAAGAAGCCUGCUGUUACUGACGCACUACGUAAUGUAAAAUGUGCAUCGUCUCACUGCAAGAUUACAAGUUGCGAGUUGAGGGCUUGUUAGUGUCGCUGACUGACGUGUUGCUUUACAGUGAAGUGCAAAAUGCCGAUUCCUCAUUAUCUGGACGGAAUUAGACCUUUGCUUUGCCAGGCGGGUGGAGAAGGACAUUGAGGAAGUGUAUGAUUUUGUGCACAGAAACGAUCUUUCGGUCGGCAUUUUUAGCAUUUGGACUCGGGCUUCCCACAAUCUUGGCAAGUUGAAUCUGUGUCAUCCUCCUACACUUAAAAUACACGCUCGCAAGAGCAAAUGUGGCCCUUCGUGGCCGAAGGAACUUUUGUUUCAAGAUCUUAUUUGAUGCUAUAACUUUUUUGUUUUGUGUAUAUUGUGUCUCAGGGUUUGUUUUGUUUUUUUGUGUAUUCAUUCAAAGUAGAGUUCCUUCUGCUAACUUCUUUUCUUUUGAAUGUACCAUUUUGUGCUAAACCGUUUAACAUGGAUCUGUUAUUUUAGAUGAUUGUUUUGUCAAGUGUAAAAGUAUCUGUACGUUUAAUGGCAUCGGUUGUAUUUAUACAUAUGUAAUAUUGCCAAAACCCAAAUGGCUAAUCUUGGCCAUGAUGGAUUUAAAUAACAAACUGUGUCCAAAGUAGUAAGAAGUUCUCGCUAUAUCAUUUUUUUAUUGUAUAUUUCAGGAUUGUUAACAGAAGUCUUUUUUGUUAAUAGUUUGUAUUUGCUUUGUAACACAUUUGUAGACGCCUUUGAUUUGCACAUUUUGUACGAACGAAAACUCUUAAUGGUCUUAAUUUUGUACCUUUUGUCUUAACCCAGCCGGGGUAGUGUGAAUAAUCAGUGCAGCAAAUGAUCAAUUUGUUCCUCUUUGAACAAUCCUCAUUUGCCCUGCAGCUUUCCAAUAUAUCAAAUACACUGUUAUAUUAAGCUAUUACUGAUAAACCAUGUUCUACAGUUCACCACUCAAUAAAUAUCUUUAAAACAUAAAACAAA